GAAACCAACAGGGAUUGCCUUAGUAGCGGCGAGUGAAGCGGCAAAAGCUCAAAUUUGAAAUCUGGCACUUUCAGUGUCCGAGUUGUAAUUUGAAGAAGGUAUCUUUGGGUCUGGCUCUUGUCUAUGUUUCUUGGAACAGAACGUCACAGAGGGUGAGAAUCCCGUGCGAUGAGAUGACCCAGACCUAUGUAAAGUUCCUUCGAAGAGUCGAGUUGUUUGGGAAUGCAGCUCUAAGUGGGUGGUAAAUUCCAUCUAAAGCUAAAUAUUGGCGAGAGACCGAUAGCGAACAAGUACAGUGAUGGAAAGAUGAAAAGAACUUUGAAAAGAGAGUGAAAAAGUACGUGAAAUUGUUGAAAGGGAAGGGCUUGAGAUCAGACUUGGUAUUUUGUAUGUUACUCUCUCGGGGGUGGCCUCUACAGUUUACCGGGCCAGCAUCAGUUUGGGCGGUAGGACAAUUGCAAAGAAAUGUGGCACUGCCUCGGUAGUGUGUUAUAGUCUUUGUCGAUACUGCCAGCCUAGACUGAGGACUGCGGCUUCGGCCUAGGAUGUUGGCAUAAUGAUCUUAAGUCGCCCGUCUUG
Molecule: ribosomal RNA, 579 nt
Filed under: Lodderomyces orthopsilosis
Lineage: Eukaryota; Fungi; Ascomycota; Pichiomycetes; Serinales; Debaryomycetaceae
Description: eukaryotic LSU rRNA
Rfam family: Eukaryotic large subunit ribosomal RNA
Source: RNAcentral